Molecule: ribosomal RNA, 495 nt
Filed under: uncultured bacterium
Lineage: Bacteria
Description: bacterial SSU rRNA
Rfam family: Bacterial small subunit ribosomal RNA
Source: RNAcentral
GAUCCUGGCUCAGGAUGAACGCUGGCGGCGUGCUUAACACAUGCAAGUCGAACGAAGCACCUGUUCACGAUCCCGUUCGGGGUGACCGAACUUGUGACUUAGUGGCGGACGGGUGAGUAACGCGGUGGGAAACCUGCCCUGUACAGUGGGAUAACAGUUAGAAAUGACUGCUAAUACCGCAUAAGCGCACGGUACCGCAUGGUACAGUGUAGAAAAACUCCGCUGAAAGAUGGGCUCGCGUCCGAUUAGAUAGUUGGUGAGGUAACGGCUCACCAAGUCGACGAUCGGUAGCCGGACUGAGAGGUUGAACGGCCACAUUGGGACUGAGACACGGCCCAGACUCCUACGGGAGGCAGCAGUGGGGAAUAUUGCACAAUGGGCGAAAGCCUGAUGCAGCGACGCCGCGUGAGCGAAGAAGUAUUUCGGUAUGUAAAGCUCUAUCAGCAGGGAAGAAGAAUGACGGUACCUGACUAAGAAGCCCCGGCUAACUACGUG